This 497-nucleotide ribosomal RNA is filed under the name uncultured bacterium. RNAcentral's name for it is "partial 16S ribosomal RNA". It matches the Rfam family "Bacterial small subunit ribosomal RNA", at positions 28 to 507 of the family's 1533-position model. The record is from RNAcentral.
GACGAACGCUGGCGGCGUGCCUAAUACAUGCAAGUUGAGCGAUGAAGAUUGGUGCUUGCCCCAAUUUGAAGAGCAGCGAACGGGUGAGUAACGCGUGGGGAAUCUGCCUUUGAGCGGGGGACAACAUUUGGAAACGAAUGCUAAUACCGCAUAACAACUUUAAACAUAAGUUUUAAGUUUGAAAGAUGCAAUUGCAUCACUCAAAGAUGAUCCCGCGUUGUAUUAGCUAGUCGGUGAGGUAAAGGCUCACCAAGGCGAUGAUACAUAGCCGACCUGAGAGGGUGAUCGGCCACAUUGGGAAUGAGACACGGCCCAAACUCCUACGGGAGGCAGCAGUAGGGAAUCUUCGGCAAUGGACGAAAGUCUGACCGAGCAACGCCGCGUGAGUGAAGAAGGGUUUCGGAUCGUAAAACUCUGUUGGUAGAGAAGAACGUUGGUGAGAGUGGAAAGCUCAUCAAGUGACGGUAACUACCCAGAAAGGGACGGCUAACUACGUG